AUGUCCCUAUCCGUUCCGCUCGCCGGUGCGCACCGCCCGCUCGCCGAUGAAGUGGGCCCCCGCGCCAACCUUACCGAGAUCCUGACGCCAGACCGGCCCUUCCAGACCUUCUUCAGGUACCUCAAUCAGACCAACCUCGUGGAGGUGUUCGAGAAGCAGGCCUACCGGACGCACCACGGCAUAACCAUCUUCGCCCCCGCCGACAGGGCCUUCGCCGCCGUCCACCCGUCGGUGCUGUCGGGUCUGAAGAAGCACCAGCUCAAGAACCUGAUGAUGUACCACGCGCUGGCCAAGCACUACGCGCUCAAGGAGUUCGACGGCCUGAGCCGGGUCAACCCGGUGACGACGCUCGCCGGCGGGAUGUACAUGGUGAACGUGACGUACGACGCGGGGGCCAUCCGCUUGCUGUCGAGGUGGGCCAAUGCCAAGAUCCUCGGCACCCUGUACGGGGUCGCGCCCAUGGCGGUGUACGAGAUCGACAGGGUGCUGCUCCCGGAGGCGAUCUUCAGCGCGCAGCCCCCCGUGGAGGAGACCCCGCCCGACGCAGAGCCCGCGGCGAGCGCGCCCGGCGCCAAGGGUGGCAACGCGACGACGCCUGGAGAUGAGGCGGAUGGGAAGAGCUCUGCGUGCCGGGCAGCGGGUCGGCCCACGAACUACGUGGCCACCGCCGUGGCGUUGUGCGCCGCGUCGCUGGUGGCAUUGUGA
This 705-nucleotide ribosomal RNA is filed under the name Triticum aestivum (bread wheat). RNAcentral describes it as "partial small subunit ribosomal RNA". The record is from RNAcentral. Lineage: Eukaryota; Viridiplantae; Streptophyta; Magnoliopsida; Poales; Poaceae.